RNAcentral lists this ribosomal RNA (253 nucleotides) under uncultured bacterium. RNAcentral describes it as "partial 16S ribosomal RNA". It matches the Rfam family "Bacterial small subunit ribosomal RNA", at positions 524 to 776 of the family's 1533-position model. The record is from RNAcentral.
UACGGGGGGAGCAAGCGUUGUUCGGAUUUACUGGGCGUAAAGGGCGCGUAGGCGGCGCAACAAGUCACUUGUGAAAUCUCCGGGCUUAACCCGGAGCGGCCAAGUGAUACUGUCGUGCUAGAGUGCGGAAGGGGCAACUGGAAUUCUCGGUGUAGCGGUGAAAUGCGUAGAUAUCGAGAGGAACACCUGCGGCGAAGGCGGGUUGCUGGGCCGACACUGACGCUGAGGCGCGAAAGCCAGGGGAGCGAACGGG